Long non-coding RNA from Sarcophilus harrisii (Tasmanian devil), 5327 nucleotides. NCBI's taxonomy places the organism in Eukaryota, Metazoa, Chordata, Mammalia, Dasyuromorphia, Dasyuridae. The record is from Ensembl.
GCGAAUGGGUUCUGGUUUAAGGGAUCUUGGGAGAAAGGUAACGGCACUUAUUCUUUCCUUGCUUUUCUCCAGAAAGGGAUUUCUAGACUUGGGCAUGGAGAGAAAAGGCAUGGGGCAGAGAAAGUCUCCUUCAGGCGGCUAAUUUUGGACCUGGCCUCUGGAACCUGGUCUUAGCCUGGACUAAGAGGCCUUCACCUUUUUUUCUGCUCCAUGUCAGCAGCCUCUAGCCCCCACCCAAAGGCUGUCAGCGCCUCUGAUCUCACUCUCAGCCCUGCCUUUGACCCUCACCCCGGUGGAAGCCCCAGGAGCCAAAGGGAGCCAAAAGACAGGGAUAAAGCCGAAGGGGAGAGAAAUAUAUAGUUUUUUUCUCCACUGUCUCCCCCAUAUACAAGAAAGAAAAUAAAAGUAAUUACUGUUGACAAUGGGGAGGAAGAACUGCCCAUAAAUGAAGAAGUUGGGAGGAUGGGAAGGGAGAGUAAGAAGAGAGUAUCCCUUUUGCUUGCCUCCCCCUGCCCCCAGCCUAGAGUGGAAACGGAGGCUUGAAGCCCCCAGGGUGGUUAGGUGUACCUCCUCGAUCAAAUGAUCAGACUUUGAGCUGUCUGAACUGAGAUGAUCAAGGUCUUCUGAUCCCUGCAAAGAUGGCUCCCGGAUUGGAGGGGGGCGGGGAUGGGGAAAUCUCUUCCAGGGAAAACUGGCCCGGCUCUAUGACCCUUCUAAUGUCUGCUCCUCAGAGAGCCUCUCAAUCCCAGCGAGCAACGAAAAUGGGUCCCAAUGCCCAGAAAUUCCAGGCCGUUGGUUCUUUUUGGUUUUAUUCUCGAAAGGGAAAGGCCCGAUGGGGGCAGGGGAACAGCAAGUGUCGAAGAGGCCGGAAUUUCGGACGAGCGGGGUGACAGAAGGGGAAAUUCCCGGAGCUUGGGCUCGGUCCUCUGGCUCCCCCUUGAAGAAGAUUUGUGAUCUUCGACAGCAGUCUGGGGGCUUUCCAGGGAAGCAGUGCAAAGGAUCCCAGCCCCCAACGAAUCUUUAUAUCUGUGGUGGCCGCAAAAACCUGCCGUAGGAAGAAAAAAACCCCCAAAAAACAACCCGGAUAGGUUUCGUUGACCUGCUUAAUGCAAACUAAAACCAGUUUUCGAUUGGCGAGUUCCAGAGGACGAGGGCUUCAGCCGGGCCCCAGCACCUUCCCGAAAGAUAAUUGGCCCACCUGCUAUGGGACCUGGAGACCUCCUGCUUACCGCGGUCUACAAGAGCUUUGUAACAGUAAUUUCUGCCCAAAGGAGACUUAAAACAAAAAACAAAAAACAAAAAUCCAAAACGAGUAAAAACUAAAAUGAGCAUUUCUGGCAGAACCCAGUCUGGCUCUGCCCGACAUCAGCUGCCCGAGGAUCUGAAGAUUUGGCUUUUAAGGGUAAUCACCACCCUCGGGCUCCGGUGCUCUUCCCCCUCACCCCGGACUUUUUAGAUGUACCAACUCCAUCCCGGGGCCAGGGUUGGGGUCUUCAAGCCUCGAAGAUCCCAAGACCCAGAGGGACAGAGAAAGGAGCCGUGGUCCCGGCGGGCGGGACCUUCUUGGCCACGCACCGAGGAUUUAGGGGCUUCGCGCUGGAUUGGGAACUCCGAAACCAAAAAGAAGGGAAAGGAUGACCCAGCUGAUUUUAGACCCGGGGAAGAGCUGUGCUAAUUCACUCGCUGGACUUCACCUGCAGUCUGUGCAAGGAGAGAUCGGAGUGAGAUCCGUCUUACUCAGUCUACACUCGGACAAAGGCGUCUCGGAUGGCGCCUGCUGCCCUCACUAGAUUUUCCGGUUCCCCUCGGGCUGCCUCAGAACGUGGUGUGGGGACGGGGGCAGGUGUGAGCCAGAGGGACAUCGCGCUCUCCCAGGUAGCUCUCCGGGCCGAAGCUGUUGGCCGGCACGUGGCAGGAGCUUUCUUCUGGGAGUCGAGCCGAGUGCAGGCUCCUUCUGCGACUCCCUGGGUCAGCCCCUGGCCAAAGGCCGCCACUCUAAAGCCUGUCAGACGGCUCCAAGUUCGGGGACCAGCCAGCCAGUGUGCAGAGGAACUCGCGGGUCCCAGGAGCCUGGCGGGCUCUAUCUCCCAUGGGGGGUAGGAAUGAGCACCGUUGCUUUUGACAUUCACUCUCCUGGUGGGGAUUGUAAAGCUCAGACGCUCCUCCCCUCCCCCCAAGACUGGACGCCCCGUCGGGGCUUCGCAGGGCCGGAUUUCUCUUGGCCCAGUGCAAAUUGUAUCGAGCUGACAAACUGACUAGUCACGAACGGAAUUUAGGGAGAUGAAAACGGAAAGUUGGACCCCUUAUCCCACUUGAGACUUGAUAAUGAUGGUGAUGAUGAUGAUGAUGAUGAUGAUGUUAAGCUCUGCCAGCCUGGCUGGUUAGAAUGAGCCAGCAGCUGAGGGAAGCAAUAAAGGGAGAGGAAAUUUCUGCUCUGCACCCGGGGGGAAUCGUCCUGUUUGGGGAAAUCGUGGAGAAAUCACCGCUCUGGGGACAAUGGUGUAGGCUGGAGAGGGGGGACUGAGGAGAGGUGGACAGGACGCCGGCCCAGACCGAGGCACGCACAGUCAACUGUUUUCCCGAGACAAAGACUGCAGAAACGCAAUGCACAAAGAGAGACAUACAGACAUAAUAAAGUCACACACCCCAAUAGACACAAACACACAGGCGGCGGACACACACAGAGACGUACACUACGAGCCUACGGACGCACAAUGCAGAUACUCCCAGCCAUACAACAGGCACACGUACACACCCCGAAGACACGCGCUACUCCCGACACAAGUUGGCGGAUUGGCACGGGGGCGCCCAAGCAAACUAUCUGCAUACCCCAGACACAGUUGCCACACGUAUACUAGAACUACACAACACGGAGCUUUACAUACGGCGCGGACACACACCCACCACAAACAGGCACACUACAUACAUGCAACGGACACAACAUGCAGACCUCAAAGACACGCCCACACUCAAAAGCACGUUUGAAUUUCUCUCUUGAGAGAUUUCAACGAAGCCAAACCUCUAGGAAAGUCUCUCUCUCUCUGCAACUUGGAAGAGAAGGGUUGGACAGCUCUCCGUGGAGUCCCAGUCUCAUACCCCCAAACCCACUCCACGAGCCCGUCCGCCCAGCUUGCCCUUUAACCUCUGUCCCUUGGGUGUCUUUAUUUUGGGGAAUACGUUCCUAAAUUGCUGCUACCUCCAAGGCUUGCGAAUCCAAACGAAUCGAUUUUCCUUAUAGAUUAAAAAAAAGAAAAGAAAAUGUGUGACAGAGACAGAGAGAGACAGACAGAGAGAGAGAGAGAGAGAGAGAGAAGAGAAUGAGAAUAUGAAUAAUCUUCCCUUUCUCAGACUUAAAAGAAUUAACUUCUAGCUCAGCUUUUAGAAUCAGUCAUAGAAGAAGCUACCGAAGAGAAUCCAUAUCAUAACCGAGAGAGCGCCCUUGGUCUGCAUCCCGACUCUGAUACCUAUUUUAUCCUUGGGAACGAACCUCAGUUUCCUUUCUUUGUAAAAUGGGGCUGUUAUGUGUAAUGCUCAUUUAACAAUGUGACUGUGAGACAAACACAGUCCUAGCUGUCAAGCUUUUGGUAAAUCUUAAAGCGUAAUAGAAAAGCAAGUUAUUGAGACUGAAGUUUUGUCCAAAGAUCGAUAGACCUCCUCUCCAAUCGGGUGGACUAGCCCAAAGCCAGUGGACUGCGUGACUUUCCGAUUCAGAGAACAAUUGAAUUGGACGGGAAUAUUUUAUUUUUACAGCAUUUCGUUUGCCUGCGUUUCUAGAGUAUGGUGGCUCCAUCCAGGAAGCUCCAAGCGCUCUCCAAUUUUUAAUAUCAGAGGAUUUAGAAAAUAAAAUAAAACCAAAAAAGGGGAUCCACACCUGUGGAACUAGAGCUGUAGAGCCCCUGCGGGCUAUCUUCUCCUGCCCUCUGGCUAGGUGCUAGAUUUGAUUGUCUUCCUCCUUCCUCUCCUCACCUGCCCCCUCCUCAGUAGCUAUCCACCUCCAACUUUUCCUAGAGAGCGCAAAGUCAGCUAACCAACGAGCACUCGAGCCUCUCUGCUCUCCCCACUGUGGAAUUUUCUCAGUCUCCAAGACUCAGCGGGUUCUAGCUUGCAUUUGUGUUUAUCGCAGGCAAGACCAAAUGCAUCUCCAGCGGCGCCUUUUAGCUCAGUCUCCCCAGCCAUUCCCGAACCUAGCGGGCUAGGCCAGGUACUCAGGAGCCCGUGCAGGCAAACGAAGUCCCGGCAAGUCUUUGAGGUUAGCUUAGGCUCCCUUGACAGGAAGCGACCUGGGAGACUAACUUUCUCUGUUUCUGUGCAGCUCAACCCAGCUCCCAGAGCACCUCGCAAACGUAACCUCAGCUAAGCUUUCCCAUAUUCUGAGGAGGUGGGCAGGGCAGGGCAGAAAUGAUGUUCCCCAUUUGGCAGUGGGGAAAACUGAGGCCCAGAGGGCACCUGACUUGCUUAAGGUCACAAAUUAGAGAUGGAGCCGGGAAGAGAAUUCAGAUUAACAUAAAAAGUUUCAAGGGACUUGAGAAGUCGUCUGGACCAAGCCUCUCGUUGUACAGAUGAGGAAACAGAGAUCGAGAGAGGUUACCCAGCAGUGAGAGAUUGACAUUAGAACCAGAUCCCUCUGCCAAUAAAUCCAGUACAUUUUCUGCAUUUCUCUCUUGGCUCUUUUUAAAAUAAUAAACAAAGGUAACUUCAAUUGUUGACUGGUCCCCUGGAGAUGUGUGUGUGUGUAUGUGUAUGUGUGUAUUUCCACUUGUCCCUACUUUUCCACGAAAACAUGUAAGGUGCCCCUUUACCUCUCCCGGAAUCAAAAAGAGGCUGGGACGCGAGUGAGUUAUUGUUAAUCCCAGCAUCCCCACCUCAGCCUAGCCUUUGUCUUCCAAGACUCCCAGGAGCCUGGUGAGCAGCCGCAUUGGGCAUCAGAAGAAUUCAGGAGUCCUAGAGUCUAGUAAAGAGAUGAGGGGAUGGUGAGCGCUUUAUCCGUUCCUGUUUAGUGGUUUUGAGGUGUGAUGUACGUAGAGGGAGAUCUGGUCCGGAAGAAGGUCGCCAGAGGCAGGAUAGAAAGUAAUGAGGGGGCCGACUUAUCCUCUCCCCCUUUUCUUCAGCAGACAGUCAUUAACGACGUUGCCUAUCCCAAUGAUCACUGUAGGGUCCGAGACCUCCGAGGCAGAAAGCCCACUAGCCCCAUCCCAUGGAGGUGGGACGUGAAAGCCUGGGGCAGUCCAGUUUCCGGGAGCACAGUGUAGAGAAUCUCGCCUGACCGAGACCCAGAAUCUUCAGCCAAUGGGCAACCUAGCGAGUUGCCAAACGAUCGGGAAAGUGGU